AAUCACAUAUGCGGAAAAGGUGUCCACGAUGUUGUGGACUUAAUAGGGAAAUCGGUGAAAAUCCGAUGCGGUCCCGCCACUGUAAUGGGGAACGAGACAAUUGCCACUGGGGUGCUAAGGUGAGGCCCUGGGAAGGCUGUCGAACGUGAUGAACCAGAGCCAGGAGACCUGCCUUUUCUAUGAACACCGU
RNAcentral lists this non-coding RNA (190 nucleotides) under Alicyclobacillus acidoterrestris. RNAcentral also lists the same sequence under 1 other name. The record is from RNAcentral. Lineage: Bacteria; Bacillati; Bacillota; Bacilli; Caryophanales; Alicyclobacillaceae.